GCCUGGAGAGCUCAGUUGGUUAGAGCAUGGUGCUGAUAAUGCCAAGGUUGCAGGUUCAAUCCCCAUAUGGGACA
Molecule: non-coding RNA, 74 nt
Organism: Podarcis lilfordi (Lilford's wall lizard)
Lineage: Eukaryota; Metazoa; Chordata; Lepidosauria; Squamata; Lacertidae
Source: the annotation of a GenBank genome assembly